AUUGAACGCUGGCGGCAGGCCUAACACAUGCAAGUCGAGCGGAUGAAGCGAGCUUUCUCCUGGAUUCAGCGGAGGACGGGGGAGUAAUGCCUAGUAAUCUGCCUGGUAGUUGGGGGUAACGUCCGGUAACAGGCGCUAAUACCGCAUACGGCCUGAUGUAGAACGGGAGGGAUUUUCGGACCUCACGCUAUCAGAUGAGCCUAGGUCGGAUUAGCUAGGUGGCGGGGUAAAGGCCUUCCAAGGUGACGAUCCGUAACAUGUACCAGGGGAUGAUCAGUCACAUUGGAAGUGAGACACGGCACAGACACCGACAGGAGGCAGCAGUGGGGAAUAUUAGGCGAGGGGGGAAAGCCGGAUCCAGGCAAGCGGCGUGUGUGAUGAAGGAGUUAUGAUUGUAAAGCGAUGAAAGUUGGGGGGAAGGAAAGUAAGUUUAUACCUGAAUGUAUUGACGGUACCAAAAGAAUAAGCCCCGGCUAACUUCGUG
RNAcentral lists this ribosomal RNA (484 nucleotides) under uncultured bacterium. Its description in RNAcentral is "partial 16S ribosomal RNA". It matches the Rfam family "Bacterial small subunit ribosomal RNA", at positions 30 to 507 of the family's 1533-position model. The record is from RNAcentral.